GACGAACGCUGGCGGCGUGCCUAAUACAUGCAAGUCGAACGGAAGGAUGGGAGCUAGCUCCCCGAGCGUCAGCAGCGGACGGGUGAGUAAAACGUGGGCAAAAUGCCUGUAAGACUGGGAUAACACCGGGAAACAGGGGCUAAUAACGGAGAACACUUUCGCACAAAAGAGGAAAAGCUGAAAAAAGGCAGCUCACUAACACAUAGAGGUGAGAACGCGGCGCAUUAGCUAGUUGGUGAGGUAAGGGAACACCAAGGCAAGGAUGCGAAGACGAGCUGAGGGCGUGAUCGACCACCCUGGCUCUGAGACUCGGCCCAGACUCCUACGCUAGGCCGCAGUAGGGACUCCUCCGCGAUGGACGAGUGUCUGACGUUGCAACGCCGCGUGAGUCAUGAUGGUUUUCCGAUCCUAAAGCUCUGUUGUCAGUGAAGAACUAGUACCGUAGUAACUGCCGGUACCUUGACGGUACCUGAGCAGAAAGCCACGGCUAACUACGUG
RNAcentral lists this ribosomal RNA (498 nucleotides) under uncultured bacterium. RNAcentral describes it as "partial 16S ribosomal RNA". It matches the Rfam family "Bacterial small subunit ribosomal RNA", at positions 28 to 507 of the family's 1533-position model. The record is from RNAcentral.